RNAcentral lists this ribosomal RNA (301 nucleotides) under uncultured bacterium. RNAcentral describes it as "partial 16S ribosomal RNA". It matches the Rfam family "Bacterial small subunit ribosomal RNA", at positions 509 to 807 of the family's 1533-position model. The record is from RNAcentral.
CAGUCGCCGCGGUAAUACGAAGGGGGCUAGCGUUGCUCGGAAUUACUGGGCGUAAAGGGUGCGUAGGCGGCUUGACAAGUCUUGUGUGAAAUCUAUGGGCUCAACCCAUAGUCUGCACGGGAAACUACCGGGCUUGAGUAUUGGAGAGGUGAGUGGAAUUUCCGGUGUAGCGGUGAAAUGCGUAGAUAUCGGAAGGAACACCUGUGGCGAAAGCGGCUCACUGGACAAUAACUGACGCUGAUGCACGAAAGCUAGGGGAGCAAACAGGAUUAGAUACCCCGGUAGUCCCUGUCUCUUAUAC